GACACAGUCGCCGCGGUAAUACGUAGGGUGCGAGCGUUAAUCGGAAUUACUGGGCGUAAAGCGUGCGCAGGCGGUUCGUUAAGACAGAUGUGAAAUCCCCGGGCUUAACCUGGGAACUGCAUUUGUGACUGGCGAGCUAGAGUAUGGCAGAGGGGGGUAGAAUUCCACGUGUAGCAGUGAAAUGCGUAGAGAUGUGGAGGAAUACCAAUGGCGAAGGCAGCCCCCUGGGCCAAUACUGACGCUCAUGCACGAAAGCGUGGGGAGCAAACAGGAUUAGAUACCCCUGUAGUCCCUGUCUCUUAUACA
RNAcentral lists this ribosomal RNA (306 nucleotides) under uncultured bacterium. RNAcentral describes it as "partial 16S ribosomal RNA". It matches the Rfam family "Bacterial small subunit ribosomal RNA", at positions 505 to 808 of the family's 1533-position model. The record is from RNAcentral.